UACGGGGGGGGCAAGCGUUGUUCGGAAUUACUGGGCGUAAAGCGCGUGUAGGCGGGAGAGGCAGUCCGGUGUGAAAGCCCUCGGCUCAACCGAGGAAGGUCGCUGGAAACUCCUCUUCUUGAGGGUGGCAGAGGGAAGUGGAAUUCCCGGUGUAGCGGUGAAAUGCGUAGAUAUCUGGAGGAACACCGGUGGCGAAGGCGGCAUCCUGGACCAGCAUUGACGCUGAGGCGCGAAAGCCAGGGGAGCAAACGGG
Molecule: ribosomal RNA, 253 nt
Filed under: uncultured bacterium
Lineage: Bacteria
Description: partial 16S ribosomal RNA
Rfam family: Bacterial small subunit ribosomal RNA
Source: RNAcentral